GCAAACUUGGUCAUUUAGAGGAAGUAAAAGUCGUAACAAGGUUUCCGUAGGUGAACCUGCGGAAGGAUCAUUACAGAGUUCAUGCCCUCACGGGUAGACCUCCCACCCUUGUGUUAUCAUACUAUGUUGCUUUGGCGGGCCGCGAGGCUCACGCUUCGCCCUGGGCUCUCGGGCCUGGGUGUGCCCGCCAGAGGAAACCUAAAUUCUGAAUGUUAGUGUCGUCUGAGUACUAUACAAUAGUUAAAACUUUCAACAACGGAUCUCUUGGUUCUGGCAUCGAUGAAGAACGCAGC
This 293-nucleotide unclassified non-coding RNA is filed under the name uncultured fungus. Its description in RNAcentral is "partial contains small subunit ribosomal RNA, internal transcribed spacer 1, and 5.8S ribosomal RNA". The stretch from base 1 to 73 matches the Rfam family "Eukaryotic small subunit ribosomal RNA", at positions 1759 to 1831 of the family's 1831-position model. Lineage: Eukaryota; Fungi. The record is from RNAcentral.